This 2751-nucleotide long non-coding RNA is filed under the name Equus asinus (donkey). RNAcentral describes it as "lncRNA (ENSEASG00005035677.1)". The record is from RNAcentral. Lineage: Eukaryota; Metazoa; Chordata; Mammalia; Perissodactyla; Equidae.
AACUAGUACAUACUGUGAAAUAUCAAUUAAAGUUUAUAGUUGCCUGCAUUGGCUAAAUGUCUUUUUCAUGGGAAAUUUUCAUUCUCUUAUGAAAUAAUCAUUUUGGGUUAAAAUAUGUGCUGAAUUAUGGGGGCAUUCCAAGUUAUUAAGAAAUGGAUUUAUUUUACAAGCAAGCUGUAAGCAUUCUUUGCUGUUUUUAUGAGGUCAUCGACAUGACUUUUAAAUGGGGCUCUAGGCCAACUCUGAUUCUCACGUCAGUUCAUUAAUUCACACAGCUGUCUCUGAACACUACAAGAAUAAUAUAUACUGCAGACAGAGGGCCAGAGAGCGGGUGGGGUGAGAUUUCAAGGCUGUAUAUCAGUCGGGGGAUCCUGCUGACAUCAUAAACUAUGAGAAGACAGCUUAAGCUGUUUGGGGAACAGCAGUAGCCCCCCUGAUGGAAAUAUGGCUGGUUUAAUUGAUUCUUUUUAGUUUCAGAAUAUACAGAGUGGGGACACCCAGUUGUUUUGAUUCCGAGCAAAGUCCGAACAUGAAAGGCAGACCCUGCAGGAAUGCAUUAGCAGGGAAACCCCAGCAGAGACCUAAGGUGAUUGUGAACUCAUCUUCUCUAUGAACAGUUUCUCCAAACGAGAUGUGACAAGGGUGCUAUGACUGUAGCGUGAGGGAGGGGUUGGGAGAAGAAAAUCUUCUGAAGAAGCUUCGUCACCCUCUCUCAGCUCCCUGAUUUGUAGCCAACACUGAAUGAGGAGAAGUGAACUGUCCUGUGGUGGGACUUCUGGCAGCCUUUCUCACUUGGUCAGAAAGAGGCAUUGCUAAUAUCUGCAUUAAAAACUCACCCUGGAGCACCUGGAAACUAUUCUUCAAGCAUUGAAGGCGGGCUCUGCUGACCUGCUGUCUGGAAUUGUGGUUCUGUGGUGAACUGGGUGGCGAGGCCGAUAAUCCACCCGUCAAGAUGAGCUGGACUGCAGCCUUCCCUCCCCCACACAGAUCCCCAUUCCCUUAGUUAUUUGGAGUCUUCAUGGCUUCCCCUCACUGUUUCCUGAGCCCUGAGGAGCAGUGUUAAAUAGUGGUUAAAUAUAUGGCCUCUGGUUUCAGACAGGCCUCAGUUUAAAUCUUGGUUCUGCUAUUUAAACAUUAUAUGGCAUUGGGAAUGACUAUCUCUUCAUCUCUAGAAUGGGCAUCCUAAUGGCAUGCCGUCUUAUGAAAUGGUUGUGGGGGUUAAAAUGAGACCAUGUGUGUGAAGUACCUGGGAGUACCUGCACACAGUAGGGACUCAGUUAAUUCAGUUCUCUUCUGUUCUCCACACCUGGACCCAUUUCUUCUGUUUGCUUUUCCCCAGCUUCGACUGGAAGCUGACCUAAGGUGGCUGUCCCAUUGGAACAAAUGUAACAAAGAUUCACAUAUAGACAUCAAUAACUGAUAAAGAUGAGAGAGAACACACACAGAAAUUCCCUUAUUUGAGGGAACAGCAAUGAGCACAUGCCACAGGAAUAGAAUUAGCCAUAAGUAUGCACUCCAAGACAUGGAAAUACGUCUCAAACUACCAUGACCGUCCUGUCACGAAGGCAAGGCUGUCACCACAUUGUUCACAAAUGCUUGGCCCAGUGUAAUCUCAAGUGACAAAAGGGAAUAGGCUGUCAUCACCCGCAUAGACAACGCUCCGUUGUGAUAGAACGAAUAGACUUUUAGGAGACAUCCUGAUACUCAAUAUAUGGUUUCCUUCCAAUAGCAUUGUCUGUUGCUUGCUCGUUUUAAACACAACUUAAUCGAUGCUGUGAAACUAAAUCCCAUUUUCUAGCUCCUGUAAGAAUUCAGUGCUUCUGGGUUUGAGCUUUGUUUUCUUAGUGACAUCAGUUUGUUUUAACAUUCCCAUUAGGGAUUCUUUUGUGAGGGGAGAUGUAAAUUAGGUUUUACUUUGUUUAUUCUGAGUUUGUCGUGAGCAGAAGUUUGAUGAAAUAAUCUUUGAAAAUCCAGAAGACCCUACACACUAUGGUAGCAUAAUCCAGUUUCCCCCUCACUAUUGCAUCUGACGUCCUUCUGAAAAAAAAAAAAUGAAUAUUUUAGGCAGGAGACAAACACGAGGGAAAGAAGAGGUUUGGGGGUGAAACUGGGGACAAAUGAGAACUCCAGUGCUUCGGUGAAAUGUAUCUGCUCGCUCGGUGUACCAGUUCUCAAUCUUCCAGCUUCCCCUGCUUUUCCACCCCAUUUGACUCCCCCACCUGCAAGGUCAGCUGCUCCAAGGAGCAAUUUAUAAACUUGCAGCUCAUAUUGUGGUUGCAGUUCCAGGACUGACAUGAAAUUAAAUCAGUCUUGAGUGCUGUAGGAUGCAAAAGCUACCUUCCGAGUUUACUGAGCCCUCCACGACUCCUAAUAAAUCUUGGAAAGGUAGCAUUCCACCAGUAAAUGCCCAGCGUCUCUCCUCACAAAAGGACCUUGAAAUGGAAACAACGAAGUUUUCUUUGAGGCCAUAUUUCAUACCACGGAGAGGGAGACGUACAUGGAAGCCGCAUUCUUAAGCACCCUUUUCCAGCUCUGCAACAGGCGCUUUGUGAGACAAUGUUAAAUGAGCCCUUAACUUGCUCCUCCACGUUCCCAACUGCUGGGGCCGCGUGGUAUGAAAACAUCCGUGAAAAGUUGACUGUACUCACAAAGUUUCAUUAUUGUUUUUCAAGAGCAGAAGGUGAGUCUUUAAAAGGUCAAUGAGCCUAUAAAUAUGGCUUUGCUACAAAUGUGUCACCCCUCAAUUUCCAG